This 471-nucleotide ribosomal RNA is filed under the name uncultured bacterium. RNAcentral's name for it is "bacterial SSU rRNA". It matches the Rfam family "Bacterial small subunit ribosomal RNA", at positions 8 to 472 of the family's 1533-position model. The record is from RNAcentral.
AGAGUUUGAUCCUGGCUCAGAUUGAACGCUGGCGGCAUGCUUUACACAUGCAAGUCGAACGGCAGCACGGGUGCUUGCACCUGGUGGCGAGUGGCGGACGGGUGAGUAAUACAUCGGAACGUAUCCAGAAGAGGGGGAUAACGCAUCGAAAGAUGUGCUAAUACCGCAUAUUCUCUGAGGAGGAAAGCAGGGGAUCGAAAGACCUUGCGCUUUGGGAGCGGCCGAUGUCUGAUUAGCUAGUUGGUGGGGUAAAGGCCUACCAAGGCGACGAUCAGUAGUUGGUCUGAGAGGACGACCAGCCACACUGGGACUGAGACACGGCCCAGACUCCUACGGGAGGCAGCAGUGGGGAAUUUUGGACAAUGGGCGCAAGCCUGAUCCAGCAAUGCCGCGUGAGUGAAGAAGGCCUUCGGGUUGUAAAGCUCUUUCAGUCGAGAAGAAAAAGCUGCAGUGAAUAACUGUAGUUCAUGA